RNAcentral lists this ribosomal RNA (288 nucleotides) under Leptospira inadai. RNAcentral's name for it is "partial 16S ribosomal RNA". It matches the Rfam family "Bacterial small subunit ribosomal RNA", at positions 29 to 328 of the family's 1533-position model. Lineage: Bacteria; Pseudomonadati; Spirochaetota; Leptospiria; Leptospirales; Leptospiraceae. The record is from RNAcentral.
ACUAACGCUGGCGGCGCGUCUUAAACAUGCAAGUCGAGCGGAGUAGCAAUACUUAGCGGCGAACGGGUGAGUAACACGUGGGUAAUCUUCCUCCGAAUCUGGGAUAACUUUCCGAAAGGAAAGCUAAUACCGGAUAGUUCUAUUGGAUCACAGGAUUUGAUAGAUAAAGGUUUACUGUUCGGAGAUGAGCCCGCGGCCGAUUAGCUAGUUGGUGAGGUAAUGGCUCACCAAGGCGACGAUCGGUAGCCGGCCUGAGAGGGUGUCCGGCCACAAUGGAACUGAGACACG